GGGCGUGUAGCUCAAUGGUAGAGCGGUCGUCUUAUACACGACUGGUUCCUGGUUCGAGUCCAGGCACGCCCA
RNAcentral lists this transfer RNA (72 nucleotides) under Patescibacteria group bacterium. RNAcentral's name for it is "tRNA-Ile". It matches the Rfam family "tRNA". Rfam says of the family: Transfer RNA (tRNA) molecules are approximately 80 nucleotides in length. The record is from RNAcentral.